AGUGGCGGACGGGUGAGUAACGCGUGAGAAUCUGCCUUGGGGUCGGGGACAACCACUGGAAACGGUGGCUAAUACCGGAUAAGCCGAUUGGUGAAAGAUUUAUUGCCCGAAGAGGAGCUCGCGUCUGAUUAGCUAGUUGGUGAGGUAAGAGCUCACCAAGGCAGCGAUCAGUAGCUGGUCUGAGAGGACGAUCAGCCACACUGGGACUGAGACACGGCCCAGACUCCUACGGGAGGCAGCAGUGGGGAAUUUUCCGCAAUGGGCGAAAGCCUGACGGAGCAAGACCGCGUGAGGGAGGAAGGCUCUUGGGUUGUAAACCUCUUUUCUCAGGGAAGAAGCUCUGACGGUACCUGAGGAAUCAGCCUCGGCUAACUCCGUGCCAGCAGCCGCGGUAAUACGGAGGAGGCAAGCGUUAUCCGUAAUUAUUGGGCGUAAAGCGUCCGCAGGUGGCGAUUCAAGUCUGCUGUCAAAGCACGGGGCUUAACUCCGUAAAGGCAGUGGAAACUGAAUAGCUAGAGUGCCGUAGGGGUAGAGGGAAUUCCCGGUGUAGCGGUGAAAUGCGUAGAGAUCGGGAAGAACAUCGGUGGCGAAAGCGCUCUACUGGACGGCAACUGACACUCAGGGACGAAAGCUAGGGGAGCGAAUGGGAUUAGAUACCCC
RNAcentral lists this ribosomal RNA (660 nucleotides) under uncultured bacterium. RNAcentral's name for it is "bacterial SSU rRNA". It matches the Rfam family "Bacterial small subunit ribosomal RNA", at positions 94 to 788 of the family's 1533-position model. The record is from RNAcentral.